UACGUAGGCAGCGAGCGUUGUUCGGAGUUACUGGGCGUAAAGCGUGCGUAGGCGGUGUCUUAAGUUUGUUGUGAAAUCUCCCGGCUUAACCGGGAGGGUGCGGCGAAUACUGAGAUGCUGGAGUGCGGGAGAGGUAAGCGGAAUUCCUGGUGUAGCGGUGAAAUGCGUAGAUAUCGGGAGGAACACCAGUGGCGAAGGCGACUUCCUGGCCUGUUCUUGACGCUGAGGCGCGAAAGCUAGGGUAGCAAACGGG
Molecule: ribosomal RNA, 253 nt
Filed under: uncultured bacterium
Lineage: Bacteria
Description: partial 16S ribosomal RNA
Rfam family: Bacterial small subunit ribosomal RNA
Source: RNAcentral